AAGAGAUUAUGACCUAAUAAGAACUGCUAAUUACUUAUUACUUUGGUUUAAUUCCAAGGCUCUCUUU
This 67-nucleotide transfer RNA is filed under the name Chikila fulleri (Kuttal caecilian). Its description in RNAcentral is "tRNA-Ser". Lineage: Eukaryota; Metazoa; Chordata; Amphibia; Gymnophiona; Chikilidae. The record is from RNAcentral.